GAACAGCAGAAAAGGAUAUGAAGCAGCGCCUGAUAGAGUUGACUGAGCUCUUGAGAAAUCGGGUGGAAUGGAGGAGAGCAACUGCGGAAAUUUUAGAAAUGGAAGUUAAAGGUUGAGAAUACGAGAGGACUGCAGAUAUAAAGGUUUUCAGCUGUAAUGGCCUACAGCUCCACUGCAGGCUUCCGUGUGGAGAAACAAAUUUGUACCAGCUUGCUGAAUAACCUCAGUAAUGUUCAGUCACUCAGAACUUCUCCAUCUGCGCUUCCAUCCAUCCAAAGAACCAGAUGCUCUAAAAAAUGCCUUAUCCACCUUGCCUGGUGUAUCAUUAUCUGAAAUAUGUUGCUACCAUAACUGCCAUUUCCAACCCUACAAGCAAAGGCAACAGCUGACCUACCUGGGGCUCUCAGUUGUUUAGUUGGUCAGGUUCAGUGUUUUCUUUACAACUUUCUGCUGCUAAAGGGAAACCUGCAAAAGGUUUUUGUAUUAUUUCCUACACACAGAGAGAAAAUUAAAUCACUAGCUGGAAGCAUUAUAACGAAAACUAAUAGAAAGCAACCAUUUCACCAAGGAGGAAGAGAAGUUCAGAGAACAGGUAGAUUUCAUCAGAAUGAGAAGCUAAGGUUUCUAUGUGUAAUUACUAUGACCUACUACUCCCAUUGGUUUUCUACACAUAGGCAUUUAGACAGGUCAAUUAUUGUAUUACUGAAAUUAGACAAUGAGAUAAUUCUAUAAACUUCCUUUCCAAACUUUUUUAUACUCCACUGACACAGGUUGCAGAAAUAUUUUUGCCAAUAACUCGAUGAUUAAACGUGAACUUGCUUCAACAGAUAUGAAGAGAUGUCCUUGAUUCUUUGUUACACAUCUGUGCAGCUCUUUUACUUCAACACAAAGAUUAAUACAUAGGAUCUGAAGCAGCAGCUAAUAAUUUUCCAAAAUAUUUGGCUAGUAACCUGAAAUUUCUUCUGAAAAUACC
Phalacrocorax carbo (great cormorant) is the source of this 973-nucleotide non-coding RNA. The record is from RefSeq and is a predicted model, not a curated record. NCBI's taxonomy places the organism in Eukaryota, Metazoa, Chordata, Aves, Suliformes, Phalacrocoracidae.